CCUACGGGAGGCAGCAGUGAGGAAUAUUGGUCAAUGGACGAGAGUCUGAACCAGCCAAGUAGCGUGAAGGAUGACUGCCCUAUGGGUUGUAAACUUCUUUUAUAUGGGAAUAAAAUGUUCCACGUGUGGGAUUUUGUAUGUACCAUAUGAAUAAGGAUCGGCUAACUCCGUGCCAGCAGCCGCGGUAAUACGGAGGAUCCGAGCGUUAUCCGGAUUUAUUGGGUUUAAAGGGAGCGUAGGUGGAUUGUUAAGUCAGUUGUGAAAGUUUGCGGCUCAACCGUAAAAUUGCAGUUGAAACUGGCAGUCUUGAGUACAGUAGAGGUGGGCGGAAUUCGUGGUGUAGCGGUGAAAUGCUUAGAUAUCACGAAGAACUCCGAUUGCGAAGGCGACUAUCUGGCACAUAACUGACGCUGAGGAGCGAAAGCGUGGGUAGCAAACAGGAUUAGAUACCCGAGUAGUC
This 460-nucleotide ribosomal RNA is filed under the name uncultured bacterium. Its description in RNAcentral is "partial 16S ribosomal RNA". It matches the Rfam family "Bacterial small subunit ribosomal RNA", at positions 338 to 795 of the family's 1533-position model. The record is from RNAcentral.